Molecule: ribosomal RNA, 460 nt
Filed under: uncultured bacterium
Lineage: Bacteria
Description: partial 16S ribosomal RNA
Rfam family: Bacterial small subunit ribosomal RNA
Source: RNAcentral
CCUACGGGAGGCAGCAGUGAGGAAUAUUGGUCAAUGGACGAGAGUCUGAACCAGCCAAGUAGCGUGAAGGAUGACUGCCCUAUGGGUUGUAAACUUCUUUUAUAUGGGAAUAAAACGUUCCACGUGUGGGAUAUUGUAUGUACCAUAUGAAUAAGGAUCGGCUAAUUCCGUGCCAGCAGCCGCGGUAAUACGGAGGAUCCGAGCGUUAUCCGGAUUUAUUGGGUUUAAAGGGAGCGUAGGUGGUAUGUUAAGUCAGUUGUGAAAUGUUGCGGCUCAACCGUAGAAUUGCAGUUGAUACUGGCAGUCUUGAGUACAGUAGAGGUGGGCGGAAUUCGUGGUGUAGCGGUGAAAUGCUUAGAUAUCACGAAGAACUCCGAUUGCGAAGGCAGUUCACUGGACUGCAACUGACACUGAGGCUCGAAAGUGUGGGUAUCAAACAGGAUUAGAUACCCCAGUAGUC